UGAGCCCAGGAGGUUGAGGCUGCAGUGAGCUGUGAUUGCACCACUGCACUCCAGCCUAGGUGACAGAGCAAGAUGGUGUCUGAAAAAGAAGGAUCAAAUUCAUUAAAGACAUCUCUUUGUGAGAUUAUUUCCCCCUUACCAUUAUAUUAAUUCUCUCCUGUUGCUGUUGCUUCAUGUUAUACUGAAAAUCCCAAGGGAGGACAUUGGGAUUUUUGUCUUGAUGGUCAGUUCGUAAUGAGUUAAAUAGGAAUCACAACAAAAUGUUUUCGGCAUUCUACUUCUCAUAGAAGUUAAAUCCUCUAUGCUGAGUUCUUAAAACUAACUUCUUCCACCCUGAGCUCUCUGUCUAGGCCUCAUUUCUGCAGUUAGCUGUGAACCUUGCCAGUCUGUGGUGGCUUCCUUUGUUGUGGAGCCAUCUUCUAAAAAUUCCAUGAGGUAGAAUUCACCAUUGGCUUAAGGCUUUUCAAAGGAAGGCAGACUCUUGCCAUGGAAAGAACAUGUUUGUCAGGCUUGGGUUAAAAUCUUUUGAUCUGAGAGCUAAAGGGUGAGUAAGAACUAGCUAAGAAAAGGGGGAGGAGAAAGGAACAGAAGGUCUGAGGCAAGGGGAAUUUGGCAAUUUUGAGGAACCAAAAGAAAGUUGUGUGACUGGAGCCCUAGGGUGAAGUAGAUCGUGGUGAAAAGUGAAGCUCUGGGGGAAGACCGGGUAUGAUUGGUAGAGGUGUUCUCUUUAACCUCAUGGCACGGGGAAGCCUUGAACAAGGAUUUAAAUGGGGAGACGGAGUUUCUGUCACCCAUUGGCAGCUGUUUUGGACCUGCUGACUACAGAUCAUAGACUGUUACCAUGUCCUUGAAGACACUGUACAUCUUUUUGGGAGGUGGGGUAUAUCCUAUUGUCUGGUUUGUGUUUGGGGAAUCUGAGGCAGUGCUUUUUGAGGUGAGAGUGGAGCAAAAAGCCUCUUUUUUGUUCUCGCUUGUCAGCCAGCCUUGAAACUGGCCAAGGAAUUGCCUUCAGACGUUAGUCACCUUCCAGACACUUCCUCUCCCAUCAGUCACUUCCUCUCAGAUGACAGGGAUGUGCACUCAGAUGCCCAGCCUGACUCACCAGGCCAUUCAGAGGAGAAAACGAUAGGGUAAUUUUAUUCUUUUAUUUUCGAGAGAGUAAUUUUAAAUGAGGCAGAUGCCAGGUGUCAUUUAAGACGUGUUGAUUGUAAUUGUUGGAGGUUAGGGGACUAAGAGGUAAACAACAUGGACGUAUUUUUGUUACAAUGAGAUUACUGUUGUUGUACUACCUUCUCACUACCUGACUAAUUACCAGGUUAGAAGAGGGAAUCUGGUUGGAAUGAAUAUCGAGCACUGAGGUCUAGCCCAGGAGACAAUCCUUGUAGGUAUGGAGGGGACUAGGGAUGGUGUCAUUUUACAUUCAGCCUUCUCAUCCUGGGGUACUUUGCUCUGCAUGGUUUGCAGUAGAGAGAUUGUCUUCUCCCUCGAAGAAUGAGGCCAUGAUUUUACUAUCUUGAAGACCUCUAUCCAGAGAAAUCAAAUGACAGCCUAGGCUCCACCUAGCUGGGCAUAGAAUCCAAGUGUUCUAAUUCUCAGAGAUUCUUAUUUUCUUAUUUUCUUUUCUUUUUUUUUUUGAGUCAGAGUCUCUGUCGCCUAGGCUGGAGUGCAGUGGUGUGAUCUUGGCUCACUGCAACCUCCGCCUCCCGGGUUUAAGCGAUUCUCCUACCUCAGCCUCCCAAGUAGCUGGGAUUACAGGUGCGUGCCACCACGCCCAGCUAAUUUUUGUAUUCUUUCUAGAGGCGGGGUUUCACCAUGUUGGUCAGGCUGGUCUCCAACUCCUGACCAGGUAAUCCGCCUGCCUCGGCCUCCCAAAGUGCUGGGAUUACAGGUAUGAACCACUGUGCCCAGCUGAGAUUUUUAUUUUCAUUAAUGGGGUUCAUACAAAAUGGAAACUUGAUUUCCAGGACUACUAGGCCAUGUGUUAGAAGGAACACUGACAGGGAAUCAGAAGACUUGAGUGUUAGUCCUGGCCAUGCAGUUCCUUCUCUCUGAUGUAGGACAAGUAAUCUCUCAUCUAUGAGCCUUGAUUUCUGCGUGUUUAGAAUCAGGAAUGUGGCUUAGAUGACCUCUUGGAUUCUUUUUGGCUUUAAGAUUCCAGAGUUUUGUGAUUAGGGAGGUGAUUGACAUCAGUGAGAUGUAGGGGGGUACAGAUGGGAAAACUACAACUUUUGAAGAGUUAAUCUUUUGUGUAUACAUUGGAACUUUCCUCUUAAUUAUCCUAACAGAACAGUGAUCUAGGGAGUAUUAGCUCCAGGUGAGGGAACAGGCUGAGAGAGAGAAAGUGAGGUGCUCAAGGAUUCCCCACUAGUGUGUGGCAGAGCUGGUAUUCAGCUCCUUUUUCUCCUAUUCCAGUACCACAGCUCUUUUUCCUAGACUCUUGCAGUCGUUGUUAUGGCGAAAACAAAAACAGUUAACAUUUGAAAUUUUUUAAAAUUUAAAAACAAAAGUUUUUCCUUUAGCAGUGGACUUGAAACCUGACGGACUGCUUCAGAUCUUUUUAUCAGUUAUAUGGAUUGGGCAAGUUACUGCAUCUUGUUAGCCUUAACUUCCUUACAUGUAAAAAAAAAAAAAAAAAA
RNAcentral lists this long non-coding RNA (2636 nucleotides) under Homo sapiens (human). RNAcentral describes it as "HSALNT0354879". The record is from RNAcentral. Lineage: Eukaryota; Metazoa; Chordata; Mammalia; Primates; Hominidae.